RNAcentral lists this ribosomal RNA (371 nucleotides) under uncultured organism. Its description in RNAcentral is "partial 16S ribosomal RNA". It matches the Rfam family "Bacterial small subunit ribosomal RNA", at positions 527 to 896 of the family's 1533-position model. The record is from RNAcentral.
GUAGGUGGCAAGCGUUGUCCGGAAUUAUUGGGCGUAAAGCGCGCGCAGGCGGUUCUUUAAGUCUGAUGUGAAAGCCCACGGCUCAACCGUGGAGGGUCAUUGGAAACUGGAGAACUUGAGUACAGAAGAGGAAAGCGGAAUUCCGCGUGUAGCGGUGAAAUGCGUAGAGAUGUGGAGGAACACCAGUGGCGAAGGCGGCUUUCUGGUCUGUAACUGACGCUGAGGCGCGAAAGCGUGGGGAGCAAACAGGAUUAGAUACCCUGGUAGUCCACGCCGUAAACGAUGAGUGCUAAGUGUUAGGGGGUUUCCGCCCCCCUUAGUGCUGCAGCUAACGCAUUAAGCACUCCGCCUGGGAUACGGCCGCAAGGCUG